Molecule: ribosomal RNA, 117 nt
Filed under: Salinisphaeraceae bacterium
Lineage: Bacteria; Pseudomonadati; Pseudomonadota; Gammaproteobacteria; Salinisphaerales; Salinisphaeraceae
Also listed under: 2 other names
Source: RNAcentral
CCUGGCGGCCAUAGCGAGUGGGAACCACCCGACCCCAUUCCGAACUCGGAAGUGAAACCGCUCAGCGCCGAUGGUAGUGCGGGGGAAUCUCCGUGCGAGAGUAGGUCACCGCCAGGC